Long non-coding RNA from Bombus terrestris (buff-tailed bumblebee), 2945 nucleotides. RefSeq lists it as uncharacterized. The transcript is spliced from 2 exons. The record is from RefSeq and is a predicted model, not a curated record. Lineage: Eukaryota; Metazoa; Arthropoda; Insecta; Hymenoptera; Apidae.
AACCGCGUGGCGUCUCUCUGCGCGAAAUCGUGUACCACGCAGCCUGCACCGCCUGAAACUCGGCUGUACGCAGACUGCACGCAGACUGCACGCAGACUGCACGCAAGCAAGCCGCGCGGUUCAUUUCUCAAGCUAAACGCAUUUAUCGGUGAUGCACCGAGGGAGAAAAUCAGAGCCCUCCGCCUCUCGCCGCCGACGUCGUACAGCCAUUGUCCUCGCGUACGCGUCGCCGUUGUGUUAGAGAAUGCCGUGGCGAGGUGCCGAGCAAGGGGCUGCGUCGGAGGGUUCGGAGUGGAAGGACAGGGAAUAGAGGGUUGCACGCCAUUCCUUCGACAUUACGUCAUACGUCGAUUCUCUGGGGAUUCCCACGGCGUCAACCCACGCCGAGAAACUUCGUCGACCGCAUUCAGCAGGAUACCGAGUUUUCUAUUUGCUUUCAUCUGGCAAGAGUUCUCUAUUGGUUACCUAUUAGAAGAUGGAAGAGCUCGCGGUGUUUGUGUACGCGAAGAAAGUAGGUUUGUCGGUAGCGUGUAAUAUGUACGAAGAAAAUGAAAGUUACGAGAUCGAUUCGCGUUGAACGGAAAAAGGGAAUCGAAAAAAGGGAAACGAAUUCCACGCGUUCGACGCUGGCAAUCGUCCGAUAAGAGCCAUCCUCCUGUAAUCGUUUUUCCACGUUCCAACCGAAUCGUCGCUGGGUGAAGAAGUUUAAACAAAAAACAAAGGAGAGCGGGAGGAGAAAGGGAAACUGUGAAAAAGGGAACAAAUAAUGGAAAUGGUGUCUCGCUUAGGGGUAAUCGUCGUCGCGUGCUCGCAGAGUAAAAAUGGGGCUGCCGCGGCUGAUUAAUCAUCGGCAAUCUCGCGAGAGCGCGUCGAAAGGACGCGGCCAUUAAAGGCAAACGACGAGAACUUCGUCACCGGUCGGCGUUCGACGAUCGUGUUCCGGGGUUGAACGAGUUAUUUUUUUUUUUUCUCUCCCUUCGCGCGACGAUACGUGGCAGAAGGAGAAACAGAGACGAACGAGUAAUUUAAUUGAAAUUCCCCAACCGUGCCCUCACCAGCGGUGGCGCAGAAAUUGUGGAAAAAUCGAGUCAUACGAUCGCCGGGGCUGCGUGAAAAUGGAAUUACGGCGGAGAAACGAGGUUUGUCCGAUGAUGCAGGUGAACGCCGGUUUCACGAGGGAUCGAGCAACCGAACGUACAAAGGGAUGAAAAAACAUAGACUCGUCAGUCCGCGGAAAGAUCGAGGGUUUAUAGGGACAAAAUUUUUUUACCUUUAAAUUUCCACGUAAAUUAGCCUUGCAAAAUUACUCUCAAUUACUCUACGCGAUGCUCGCGAGUGCGAGAACUCGUUCGAUACCAACCAUCGUGCGUAUGCAGAGCGUUCUGGCUGCCUGGCCUCGAGCAGCAAGCGCAACUCGACUGAAAGAUAUCCUAUCUACAGCGUACGUACGAGUUUGCCAUACGUGUGUAUGUACAUAUGUGUAAACGCGUAUGUACGGUGUACAAAUUGGUCGGCGCACAAAUUGAUCGAUAAUCUGACCGGUAAUCGAGGAGUUUUCCGAAACGUUGCGUUGAUGGCUCGUACAGCCGGAAAUAUUAUAGUCGGGCGAAAUCAGCCUCGAAAUACCGACGGGACGGUGAUCAAGGGUCGACCACUUAUAGCGCAAUUUGUUUUAAUUAAAAAUCGUCCGUGCCUGCGGUACAAUGAAAUUCGCAUUAUACGCGACGAUGCACGGCGAUAUAGGAAUUUCGUUAGCGAAAACGCAACGUGAGAUCGAUAGCGAUACUGUACCGAUAUCGCUGUAUGGUAUACCGUCUCACGAGUCGAUGAGUCGCGAUAUUAAAUGUACUGGCUCGGUGUUAAUUAUGAAUCCACGGGAGUACGCGAAUCGAACGAUCGUAUCGCUGCGGAGGCCUCAUUUCGAUAUGCACAUUUUAAUUAGCGCUUAACCGAAGAAAGGGCGAUAUCUCGGUGGCGAGACAAACAGAAACACCGUAAUUCGAUUCGGAAGGUGCAAAUAUUUGAUAAGGUUGUAACGUUGUGUUACCAGAGGUUCGCCAGAGGCGUGGUAGCUUGUAGGCGGAAUCGGUGCAAUGAAGUGCAUAUAGACACUUCAUCACCGCGCAUCCGGAAUCGCCGGAGGUCAGUUACGCGAAAAUAUUCCCCGUUGUAACAUCGUGUUUCGGAAAACGGGAAGGCUGCCUUCGGUCCGGAAACACGCAAACUCCGCCUAUAGCCUGCGUGUUUCGGCCAUCUGAACCGUCUAUUUCGGGUUUACAGCGGCGGAAACCCGAAUCGAAACGGAGGUCAGUUACGAGAAAAUAUUGACUGAUCGCGCGUAAUGGCACACCCGAGCGCCAACAAUAGAAUCGUGCCUCUGCCUACGUGUACGUAGCUAUCGCGAUGCGAAGCACGCGUACCUGUACUCGUGUGUAUCCAUUCUCGUACCUAUGUCUAUGUACCUGUACAUACACGUAUAUACGCAAAUUCACGCAUCCAUACAUUGAAACAUGCACGCGUUAUCGCGUACGAAUCACGAGUAGAGUCGGCUAAGCGUAGAGACGCGCGGCCUGAUGUUAAAGCACGGACAUUUCCUGGUCCUCAUCAAUUGUCAUUAAACGACAUGAUUAUUGCGCGUGUUGACGAUUAUUGCGGCGAUAGGCCGUUACCGGAAUAUCCAGCGAAGCCCGCGGUCUCAUAAUGAUCGAUGCUCGAUACGUACUCAUCGAGUAUUUCGUUAAUGGCCAGGACAUUGUGUCGAGCGAUGUGCACGGCCUCGCGAAAAUGCCAAAAGCCCUCUCCCAUUGACCGUUAACGAGCCGUUUCGAGGAGAGCGCGUUUUAUCCAAAGAGUCCCUUUGGUUCCGUUUUCCGCAUGAUGUCACGGCGGUUGUUAUCAGGGCGCGACCAUCGAUCAAUGACCCUGUCGAUAAAUCGCCAAUGCGA